ACCCAAAUAUCUAAACGGAGAAAUUCAAUAUUACCCCCAAAAGGUAAUGUGCACUUUUCUCUUAGUAAGACGCCGUGAUCCAUUAGAAAUUGGUGCGUUCCCAACGUACACAUUGGGUCAUCACGAGGACGGCACGAAGUUUAUUCGGAACAAAUGGCGUGAUCUUUCACGGUCGCGUGUAUUGUCUGGUAAGCGUGUCCGACACCUGCAAUGACUGUCUGAUGGAUUUUAAGGACCGACAUCAAUGAUGCCUUUAUGACAUCAGUGCCCUUCGGGGCGCACUCACGAUAUGCGUGUCUGAUCAACGGCGGUUAAAUUUGGGAUACCUUUUGGACCCGUCUUGAAACACGGACCAAGGAGUCUAUCUAGUAUGCGAGUAAAUGGAUAGUUUUGAUGAAAUCUAUUUGCAUAAUAAACUUGACUGUUUUAUUUCAUGGGACUACGAUUAGUAAUUUUUAAUCGAGUUACUUUUCCUCCGUCCCGGGGUAUUUCUAUCAAACAUACGGCGCAAGUUGUAUGGGAAAUAUACCAUGAGCACACUGGAUACGACCCGAAAGAUGGUGAACUAUGCCUGAUCAGGUCGAAGUCAGGGGAAACUCUGAUGGAGGACCGAAGCAGUUCUGACGUGCAAAUCG
This 635-nucleotide ribosomal RNA is filed under the name Polypedilum nubiferum. Its description in RNAcentral is "eukaryotic LSU rRNA". It matches the Rfam family "Eukaryotic large subunit ribosomal RNA", at positions 428 to 900 of the family's 3401-position model. The record is from RNAcentral. Lineage: Eukaryota; Metazoa; Arthropoda; Insecta; Diptera; Chironomidae.